CUGUUCUGCAAAAGAACAAGGUUUUGUUUUUCUGGAAAGUAAAGAAGAUUCAAUUAUCCCACAUCGGUUGGAAACUACUUGAAUGUUGGGUUAGUGAGCUACAUAACAGGAAGGUAUGACAACAAGCUCCAUACUUACCUGGACGGGGUCAAUGGGCGAUCAAGAAGACCCAUGGCCUAGAUUGGCGACCUCCAUUGCACUUAGGAGGGGCGCCCGUCUAAGGUCGGCCCAAGUGGUCGAGCCUACGUCAUAAUUUGUGGUAGAGGGGGCCUGCGUUCGCGCGGCCCCUGCCCAAUUCAAGUUUUGAAGUUUUAUCCCAAUUCUAUUUUUGCAGGCCCAUAAGAUUACUUAACGGGCCUGUUCAGGUUAGGUCUAGGUGUCAUGAGGCACAAGGCGAGUGGACUUUUGCUGAUAAUUAUGGUCAUAAGACUUCAAUGUUUCCCAGAUGAUACUAGGGCAGCAGAUUAUCGUAAUGAAUAGAGGUUUCAAUUCUGAGGUGCUACAACGUGCGUGAAGGGCAGCUCAGAUGCAAUUUCAAAUCAUAGCCGCCAAGACCCUGUAUCGAAGAGAUUGAGAAUGCCAUAUAUGUGUAAUCAACAACGCGGAAGCACAAGAAUGCCUUCUGUUGGAGGAUAUCUCUCUUGAAGUGCCGCCGCAAAGCUCUUCUCUGUUCUGCGACAAGUAAAGAAGAACUUGGUUUUGUUUUCUGCACACUAAGAUACGGCAGUAGACUAGUAGUACAAAGGGGAAAACAUUUCAAUAGAUUCAUUCAUCCCACAUCGAUUGGAAACUCACUAAACAUUGGAUUAGGGGCUAUAUACCUGGAAGUCAGGACAACUUGAUACAUACUUACCUGGACGGGGUCGAUGGGCGAUCAAGAAGGCCCAUGGCCUAGAUUGGUGACCUCCAUUGCACUUAGGAGGGGCACCCGUCUAAGGUCGGUCCAAGUGGUCGAGCCUACGUCAUAAUUUGUGGUAGUGGGGGCCUGCGUUCGCGCGGCCCCU
This is a long non-coding RNA of Olea europaea var. sylvestris, 1004 nucleotides long. RefSeq lists it as uncharacterized. NCBI's taxonomy places the organism in Eukaryota, Viridiplantae, Streptophyta, Magnoliopsida, Lamiales, Oleaceae. The transcript has 2 exons. The record is from RefSeq and is a predicted model, not a curated record.